RNAcentral lists this non-coding RNA (949 nucleotides) under Piliocolobus badius (western red colobus). RNAcentral describes it as "12S ribosomal RNA". It matches the Rfam family "Bacterial small subunit ribosomal RNA". Lineage: Eukaryota; Metazoa; Chordata; Mammalia; Primates; Cercopithecidae. The record is from RNAcentral.
AAUAGGUUUGGUCCUGGCCUUUCUAUUAACUCGUAGCAAGAUUACACAUGCAAGCAUCCCCGCUCCAGUGAAGACGCCCUACAAAUCACCAUGAUAAGAAGGAGUAAGUAUCAAGCACGCCUAGUGCAGCUCAAGACACUUUGCUUAGCCACACCCCCACGGGAAACAGCAGUGAUUAAUAUUUAGCAAUAAACGAAAGUUUAACUAAGCUAUGCUACUAUAGGGUUGGUCAAUUUCGUGCCAGCCACCGCGGCCAUACGAUUGACCCAAGCUAAUAGGCACCGGCGUAAAGAGUGUUUUAGAUCAACAUAAACCCAAUAAAGCUAAACUAUGUCUAAACUGUAAAAUUCUAGCCAAUGUAAAAUAAACUACGAAAGUGGCUUUAAAAAAUCUGAAUACACAAUAGCUAGGACCCAAACUGGGAUUAGACACCCCACUAUGCUUAGCCUUAAACUUUAAUAGUUUAAAUAACAAAACUACUCGCCAGAAUACUACAAGCAACAGCUUAAAACUCAAAGGACUUGGCGGUGCUUCACAUCCCCCUAGAGGAGCCUGUUCUAUAAUCGAUAAACCCCGAUUCACCCUACCAUCCCUUGCUCAGCCUAUAUACCGCCAUCUUCAGCAAACCUCAACAAGAGACUUAAAGUAAGCACAAACGCCCACGCAAAAACGUUAGGUCAAGGUGUAGCCCAUGAGAUGGGGAAAAAUGGGCUACAUUUUCUAUGUUAGAAAAUAUACGAUAGCUCUUAUGAAAUUUAAGAGUCCAAGGAGGAUUUAGUAGUAAAUUAAGAAUAGAGUGCUUAAUUGAAUCAGGCCAUGAAGCAUGCACACACCGCCCGUCACUCUCCUCAAAUAUAUUUAAGAAACGCUUAACUAAACGCCAUAAUAUUUAUAUAGAGGAGAUAAGUCGUAACAUGGUAAGUGUACUGGAAGGUGCACUUGGAUAAAU